GUCUCUGCAUUGUCAGUCCUGUAACUCAAACGCCGUGCUACUACCUAUGUGGUUGCUAAUUCAAAAUAUACGUGGGCAUUUUAUGCUUAUUUUACAUUUUUGUUCUGCUUUUGUUGCGGUAUCGAUUAUAACCAGGAGCGACUGAUCCGUAGAGGGGGCUGGAAGGUAAUCGUAGAGCCAACAGAGCGUUGGAAAAUAAUUUUUAAAAAAGGGAGGCUGCUUUAAAUGGACGGGAGCGGAGUGUGGACGUGGGUCUGACAUUUCCUCUGUCCUGCUGCUCCUGCUGCCGGGGGUCCGGGCGAAGGGGGACUGCGGACACGUGAGCUGAAUUUCCAAUGCAGCAGUUCACCGGCAGCGCUGGAGAGAGGGAGUGGAGCAGACAUGCGCCGGCUCGCUAAUCUCUCCGCUAAUAUUGCGGAUUUGGAUGCGGCCAUGGAGGAGCCAGCAGAGGAGGCUCUCGCAGGGUGAAGGGCGCAUGGUGCAGGCAAGGCUCCGGGUGUGAAAGCCGUUUUUCUCUUUGCAUUGCCUUCUCCAGGGCUGGUUGGGUCAUGGCUUGGCCGUGCAUCAGCAGGGUCUGCUGCCUGUCUCGCUUCUGGAGCCAGCUGGACAAGUCCGACCUCUCGGUGCCGCUGACUGUCCAGAAUUAUUCCGAGGUCAUAGAGCAAGAGGUGAGGUCGGUGACCCAGCAAGUCCCAGCAGACUCGACCCUGAACAACAAUGCAUCCCUGGCCCCCGAGCACAGAGCAGAGGCUUCGGUCCAGGAGUCGGUGUCCAGGCACGACUUCAAGUCCUGGAGGGUGCGCAAGGAAGCGAGCUGCAAACCCAGGCGGGAGUACCAUCCGUCCGGGGUCCCUUUCUCCAGCGACACCCAGUACAAACUGGACUUCAAGGCUUGGCCCAUCCCUAAAAAGGAGAAUUACCCUUGGGUAAAGGCAGGGCAGGACCAGCUCUCAAUGCCCAGCAGUUCCAGCGCUCACACUCUCCACCCCGGGCCAACUGCAGACCAGCAGAAAGGAGAGAGACCACCAAAUCCCAGGGAGCCCGUCCCGAGGCACACCCGGGAGGAGGCGAUCAGGCCCGCAGUCAAAACCACCUCCUACAGACAGGAGUUCCAGCCCUGGACUGGAGUUAAAGUGGCCAAACCUGUGAAGGUAAGGCAGGUCUACACUCCCCCAGGAGAUAAGAUUGUCCUCGAGAGCAGUUACCGGGCAGCUUUCACAGAGGAUGCUUUCCGACGUAUUGAACCACUUCAGGUUGCAUCCAGCAAGUCUCAGAACCAAAUAGCUUCAGUGUCGGAGACGGGCAAUGUAACAAAGACUGAGAGCUCAGAGCCAGUGGUGAAGACAAAGUUAUCACCAUCAUCGAAUUCCUCGGCAGUGUUCCAGACCCGCUCCCGUGUGCUGAACAUAUAAACCCAGUCACAGCUUCCCCUUCGAAGGAACUGGUCCCAGUGCUGAAGUCAUCCCAGACUAAAGGCAGCUGUAUUAAUUCUGCCAAAACAAACUAUGCAAAAUAAGCCUCGGAACAGAGGAAUGCUGGCGUUUGAAGUGACCCUCAUCAGGAUAUUUGUCUCCAGUUGCCUGAUAAAUACUUGUCUUUGUACAGUAACUGAUUGGGACUUGAGCAAAUCCUAUUUAACGUGUGUACGUCUCAUCUGCAUGUUGUGUAAGGAUAGCUUGGCUGAUUGCACACUAAGGGACUUCGACAACAAGCACAGGCCUAGCAUGGAGGAACAGAAUAUAAAAGGGAGGCAAGUUCUAGUUGGAGUGAUCAUUUUAAGGAAGGCUGUUUGAGGUCGAAGUGUUAAGCUUGAGGUCUAAGCUUUGACAAGGAAGGCUCCAUCAAGAAGGCUGAGCAGUGACAUCAAGAUAAAAUUGACUUAUGGACAUCUGUAAAAACGUAACCCGUUCAUUACCUGGGGGCAGCCUUUAUGAACAAGAAUGUACAAAUUAGGAGCAGGAAGAAGCCAUUUUGCAGCUUGAGCCUGCUUCUCCAUUCAAUAAGAUUAUUGCUAAUCUGUUUGUAAUUUCUACUCCUACAAAGGAUUACAACCUUUCACCCCAAAUGUUCUUUUAAUGGUGAUCGUAGCCUUCCAAUUAUUGACACAAUGCCCGGUGGAAAUGCUUAACCGUGGGGUAAGCUGUCACAAUUGACCAGGUCUGAUGAUAAGAGGUCUUUUGGAUCUUCCUUUUCCACAAGCUGACAACAAUUUUAUCUUCCUUCCUGAGAUUUCUAUUUUACCUCAGAGGAAAGCAUAUGUCAAGCUCGAGACCAUAAUCAGAAUUACACAUGCAAAUUUAAAACAAGGGCAAAAAUAUUACAGAGCAGCUGUGGGGGAAAAAACAAGCAAUUCAUCAAGUUUCAUGAUAUUAUCUCAAAUAUAUUAUCCUGUGCCCCACAAAUGGCCAGAACUCAAUUUUUUUUUUAAACUGAUUCAAGUCUAUUUUUAUUCAACUGAAUUUUCAAGUUACUAUCUAUAGUUUCAGAAAGAGGGUAGAAUAAACAGAGGCCAAACCAACAGCAUUCUUAUCCAGCAACGAUUUUAACCAUUCAGAUUCAGACCAGCACACAGACAGGAGAAUCUAUUUUGUAAAUGAGCCAAACAGGCUGCACUGCACAAUGCUGCUCUUUAACCAAGUCACAGCAAACAGCUCAAAACAACAACAGUGUCUUUUGGCCAAGAACCGAGGGCCAGAGGCAGAGCCCAACUCCCAUUAGUCAGCUCAAUAUGUUAUACGAAUGCCAAUGUGCUGAAGGCAAGACCUUGACACACAGGAGAUUCAAGAGCAGACAGAUGAAAGAGUCCCACGGUGAAAUCAUUAUACUCUUCAACCUAAGCCACCAAAGGGGUAGUUUUUUCUCAAGAAAAGAUGUGAUUUUAAAUCUGUGUCUUUUACCAUUUUGCAAAAAUUUUUUUGUAAUAAAGUAACAAGCCACUUCUUAGCCACUGCUGUUUGGCUCAUGGGGUGAGUUCCCUGAACAAAGGGAGACAGCUUCUCUUUAGAUCCUCCUGCACCGCAUAUCAAGUGCAAACUGACUGAUGCUCUGGUUUCCUCUUUCACUCAUCAAACCAGUGGUAGAGC
Molecule: RNA transcript, 3083 nt
Organism: Pristis pectinata (smalltooth sawfish)
Lineage: Eukaryota; Metazoa; Chordata; Chondrichthyes; Rhinopristiformes; Pristidae
Gene: map6d1
Gene name: MAP6 domain containing 1
Exons: 5
Source: RefSeq, a predicted model, not a curated record